AUCUCAUACGUCGGCAACAACAGCAAGCGUUGACGUAAUAUCAAUCGAAAGAGAAGCGUUGCAGUGGUACAGCGGACGGUUAUAUUUAAACAUGUGAAUACUUCAAUGGAAAGUAAUUGAUAUUUUAGAACUGUGUUCAUUUACUUUGAAAAUGUGCGUGAGAAGAUCAAAUACUGCAACCAUAGCAGAACCCAUCGGCCAGAAAGUCCUCACUGAUCCACAACACACCCAGCACUAAGGACCUGGAGAGUAAGAAAUAAUGACGUUAGGUUCAAUCCAGUUAUUGCCCUUCAUGUGGAUUGGAUGGAGUUUAAUUUGCUCAGAUUUUAGAUUCAGUUUUGGAGCACCUGCAAAACAAAGGGAAUACAAAUACACAAGUGCUCAACUUUCAAGGCCAUGUUGGGAGACAGAAGAGUUCACAGUGCAGCAGGAAUGUUUUGAAUGCUCAGAUUAUCAAAAGAAAACAGAAUUGGAAUGCAAGAUUUCUGGAUUUGUUGAAAAAAUCAAGUGCAAGUUGGGUCAAGAUGAAUACAGAAAUAUUUGUUUUCUUUUGUAGUUGCCGUUCUGUGUCAGCAGAGGAGCUCAAAUUUUGGAAAUUUGAAGGCUGUGUACUUUCUUUGGGUAUGAUCUUUGCUUUUAUUGUCCUCAUCCGACAGCGGGCUUUGGACAGACGAGCAGAAAACAAAGUCAGGCGUCAAAUUGAAGGAAUCUGAGAAUGUCUACUGGUUUGUAGUUUUGCUGUUUUUACUUUCAAAUAUGGUUUUGUCCUCAUAUAUGUUGAUUUAAUUGCCAUAUAACUAUGGUAUAUGAAGAACUUAAUAUACAGUGUCUAUGGAAAACAUUUCAGUUCCUGACUACUAUUUCAGUUUAGCCCACUAAACAGAAAUGUUAUUUCAUGUGUGCUUUAAAGUUUUAUCUGUUAUAAUAUUUUUGUUAAUAAAAAUAUAAAUAGUGUAGUUCUUUGCUAUUUUUAUAAUGUAAAUGGAUACAUGGUAUGCAGUUUUCCACAUAUACAGAAUAUAAUUUCAGGGUUAGUUUGGGCACUGUUUGCUUGGCUAAAAUGCCUGAUGGCUAGAGAAACUAAAGAAACUAAAUCAAAAAUGUAACUUAUUUAGAACUGUUUUUCUUGCUUCUAAAAUAAUUGUACUGUGACAAUGGAUAAUGGUGAAAGUUUUCAUCAAAAAUGUAAACCUGAUAUAAUCAGCUCAAUCAGUAUAUUAACACUUUUGUGCUUUACUCCUACAUAUUCAGGAACAAAAUUAGAUUUAUGAGGAAUAAACACCAUAAAGAAAAUACUUUAAAUAAUAGAUUAUUUAAAUUCUUUUUUUCUACAAUCAUGUAGUGUAAGCAAGAUAAAGAGAACAAUGGAGCUCAGACACCUUUUGCAUCCAGUUACAACCAUGUCAGUUACUGCUUGUGAAGCAAUGUGGUAUGCUAAUGUCCCUUGGCUUUAGAAUGUUACUAUGCUAUUUGUUAGCUUAAUUACUGGGGAAAAAAAGUAACUAAUACACAUUACAAGUUCAUGUAGUAACAAAGACAGAAUAAAGAACAUUCUAAAAAAGUGACUUGAAUGUAUGACCCUUAUUGUCACUGUGAGAAAUACUACAAGGGAAAAUUACUGCAUUUUUCUUUUUAGACUAAGGAAUUCUGCCUGAGGGAGAGGGAAAAAAAAGAAAAAUUUCACUAGUUGUAUGCAUUAGUCAAAUUUAUUUUAUUUUAGCACUUAACUGGAAAAUUACAUUCAAAUUAGCUUUGAUUUUGUGGAAGAUGAACUGUAGUGUUUCCAAUCAUUGAAACUGUACAUCGUAUUUCUUGCUGUGAGGUAUCUUUGCUUGCCUGUUUUUUUUUUAUAUUUUUGAGAGGUUUUUUUUGUUGGAUCUAAAAUGUUGUAAGCAUAAACAAUAAUGCAAAUAAGACAGUUAAGAUUAUUUAACAUGUGAAUGUCAAUAAGGUAUUUAGAUAAUCAUUUCCUUGCCUUAACUCCCAUUUGUUUUUUUCAGAAUAAACACUGUAUUGUCUGAUCCUAAAUAUGGAAAGAAAAAGAAAAAUAGUAAAGAGAACUUUACAGUGAUUGGCUUUAUUUAUUUGAAAUAUAUAUAUUUUUGCAAAUAAUCAAAUUACUUUUGAGCAGUAAUCUGACUUUGUAUAUAACACUAACUAAACAGAUAACAGAGAUCAUUUAAAAUAGUUUAUGGUGUGAUAGCACUAAUUCAGGAAAGGAUUUUCCUACAAGCAACUUUUGUUUUACCUUAGAAAAUAUUUAUGUUACUAUUGCCUUUAAUAUUUUAAUUAAGGAUACCCUAACAUUUUGAAUGUGUUUUCUGGUAUGCACAAUGUGUUUAAAACUGUGUUUUAAUAUCCUACAAUGUGAAAUGAGAGAAUUGCUUCAUAAUGUUUCAUUUGAUGCUGUGUAGUUGGCUACACACACUUGGCAGAUUAAUGUUUAUAUCACCACCCCAUUUUGUUAAUUUCCUUCUUGACAACAUUAAAAAUGUGAUUUUUUUUUUAACAUUAAAAAGCUUUUUUUGGUCACUGAUAGCUUUAAUGGACUGCUGAACAUGUGAUAUUUAUACUGUUGGGCCUCUCAGGAUGCUAAGCUUUGGUCUUUUGAGGGUCACAGAACCUAUUGUUUGUUUCUCGGCUAAUUUCUCCAUUAGCACUAAAACUGUAGCAUAAUUAGACUUAAUAUUCCUAUUUCAAUUGGCUUUCAAAUUUCUGUUUUUAUCAUUUUAAUGUAUCAAAAGCCUGUAUUAUUUUAAACAACUUUGUCAGAGAAUUAUAGAUGGACAAGGCAAUUUAUAAUGCACUGACUGACAUUGAUGUUUUUUCAUUUGCAUUUAGUCUUCUUUACUGGUCACAAAGUUAUCCUACUGUAGUAGAUUAAAAGGUAUUGUCAUGCAAGCCAGUGUGUGCACGUGCCUGCAUGGUUAUGUACGUGUACCUUACAAUGGAGUGGAGUCUCAUCCCAUAUUGACUGUAGAAUUUCAGCUCUGUAUACAGUUUGGUAUUGCUUAUAUUAAAGUUUAGAUGUUAGUGUGCAUAUUGUUAACAGUAGGCCUUAGCUCAGGUGAAAUUAUAUUACCUAGUCAGUAAUUUUUUGCACAACAACUUCUGUUGUAGACUCAUUAUGAAGGAAACUUGCAGGAUCAUACAGUGAGGCCAUAAUAAAAUAUCAUCCAGUGACCCUGUGGUUACAAGCAGGAAAGCAAAACUUGCUACACUCUAACCCGUAAGAAAACAAAGCUGCUGAUUUCUGCUGUUAAAUUGCAUGGGUGUUACAGAUGAUGUUGUAGGCAGUAGGGAAAACCAUAUAAAUGUCUGUGGAAUACUGCAGCCUAAAUUCUGCAUUUAACUUUUAUUAAGUUGCUAUAAUGGGCUCUUCUUCUCAACCAAUACCAGUGACUGAAAUCUUUUUUCUUUAGUUUCAUUCUAAUCAGUAUCAGAUGAUUCUAUAAUAUAUUAUUGUAAAUAAUUCAGUUAAAUAUUUGAAAAUGUAUGUAUUAUUUGU
Polypterus senegalus (gray bichir) is the source of this 3508-nucleotide RNA transcript. It is a transcript of the gene named protein JTB-like, with no coding region annotated. The record is from RefSeq and is a predicted model, not a curated record. The transcript is spliced from 6 exons. Lineage: Eukaryota; Metazoa; Chordata; Cladistia; Polypteriformes; Polypteridae.